GGGAGGCAGCAGUGGGGAAUUUUGGACAAUGGGCGCAAGCCUGAUCCAGCCAUUCCGCGUGAGUGAAGAAGGCCUUCGGGUUGUAAAGCUCUUUUGUCAGGGACGAAACGGUGGAGGCGAAUACCCUCUGGUAAUGACGGUACCCGAAGAAGAAGCACCGGCUAACUACGUGCCAGCACCCGCGGUAAUACGUAGGGUGCGAGCGUUAAUCGGAAUUACUGGGCGUAAAGCGUGCGCAGGCGGCUUUAUAAGACAGAUGUGAAAUCCCCGGGCUCAACCUAGGAAAUGCGUUUGUGACUGUAAAGCUGGAGUGCGGCAGAGGGGGGUGGAAUUCCCCGUGUAGCACUGAAAUGCGUAGAGAUGUGGAGGAACACCCAUGGCGAAGGCGGCCCCCCGGGUUGACACUGACGCUCAUGCACGAAAGCGUGGGGAGCAAACAGGAUUAGAUACCCCGGUAGUCCACGCCCUAAACGAUGCCAACUAGGUGUUGGGGAAGGAGACUUUCUCAGUACCGUAGCUAACGCGUGAAGU
Molecule: ribosomal RNA, 531 nt
Filed under: uncultured beta proteobacterium
Lineage: Bacteria; Pseudomonadati; Pseudomonadota; Betaproteobacteria
Description: bacterial SSU rRNA
Rfam family: Bacterial small subunit ribosomal RNA
Source: RNAcentral